ACCGGAUAGGACGAAAGUUUAAAGGUGCUUCGGCACCACUGAUGGAUGAGCCUGCGGCGCAUUAGCUAGUUGGUAGGGUAAAGGCCUACCAAGGCGACGAUGCGUAGCCGACCUGAGAGGGUGAACGGCCACACUGGGACUGAGACACGGCCCAGACUCCUACGGGAGGCAGCAGUAGGGAAUCUUCGGCAAUGGGCGAAAGCCUGACCGAGCAACGCCGCGUGAAUGAUGAAGGCCUUCGGGUUGUAAAAUUCUGUUAUAAGGGAAGAAUGGCUCUAGUAGGAAAUGGCUAGAGUGUGACGGUACCUUAUGAGAAAGCCACGGCUAACUACGUGCCAGCAGCCGCGGUAAUACGUAGGUGGCGAGCGUUAUCCGGAAUUAUUGGGCGUAAAGAGCGCGCAGGUGGUUGAUUAAGUCUGAUGUGAAAGCCCACGGCUUAACCGUGGAGGGUCAUUGGAAACUGGUCAACUUGAGUGCAG
This 479-nucleotide ribosomal RNA is filed under the name uncultured Bacillota bacterium. RNAcentral's name for it is "bacterial SSU rRNA". It matches the Rfam family "Bacterial small subunit ribosomal RNA", at positions 168 to 651 of the family's 1533-position model. The record is from RNAcentral. Lineage: Bacteria; Bacillati; Bacillota.